RNAcentral lists this ribosomal RNA (254 nucleotides) under uncultured bacterium. Its description in RNAcentral is "partial 16S ribosomal RNA". It matches the Rfam family "Bacterial small subunit ribosomal RNA", at positions 524 to 776 of the family's 1533-position model. The record is from RNAcentral.
CACGUAGGGGGCAAGCGUUGUCCGGAUUUAUUGGGCGUAAAGAGCUCGUAGGCGGUUCGGCAAGUCGGGUGUGAAACCCCCAGGCUCAACCUGGGGACGCCACCCGAUACUGCUGUGACUUGAGUCCGGUAGGGGAGCGUGGAAUUCCUGGUGUAGCGGUGAAAUGCGCAGAUAUCAGGAGGAACACCUGCGGCGAAGGCGGGUUGCUGGGCUGACACUGACGCUGAAGUGCGAAAGCUAGGGGAGCGAACGGG